CAGCCGCCACGGGAACACGGAGGGAGCUAGCGUUGUUCGGAAUUACUGGGCGUAAAGCGCACGUAGGCGGUUAUUCAAGUCAGAGGUGAAAGCCCGGGGCUCAACCCCGGAACUGCCUUUGAAACUAGAUGACUGGAAUCUUGGAGAGGUCAGUGGAAUUCCGAGUGUAGAGGUGAAAUUCGUAGAUAUUCGGAAGAACACCAGUGGCGAAGGCGACUGACUGGACAAGUAUUGACGCUGAGGUGCGAAAGCGUGGGGAGCAAACAGGAUUAGAUACCCGCGUAGUCCCUGUCUCUUAUAA
RNAcentral lists this ribosomal RNA (301 nucleotides) under uncultured bacterium. RNAcentral describes it as "partial 16S ribosomal RNA". It matches the Rfam family "Bacterial small subunit ribosomal RNA", at positions 509 to 809 of the family's 1533-position model. The record is from RNAcentral.